UACGUAGGGUGCAAGCGUUGUCCGGAAUUAUUGGGCGUAAAGAGUUCGUAGGCGGUCUGUCGCGUCUGCUGUGAAAACUCGGGGCUUAACCCCGGGCCUGCAGUGGGUACGGGCAGACUAGAGUGCGGUAGGGGAGACUGGAAUUCCUGGUGUAGCGGUGAAAUGCGCAGAUAUCAGGAGGAACGCCGGUGGCGAAGGCGGGUCUCUGGGCCGUAACUGACGCUGAGGAGCGAAAGCGUGGGGAGCAAACAGG
This 253-nucleotide ribosomal RNA is filed under the name uncultured bacterium. RNAcentral describes it as "partial 16S ribosomal RNA". It matches the Rfam family "Bacterial small subunit ribosomal RNA", at positions 524 to 776 of the family's 1533-position model. The record is from RNAcentral.